RNAcentral lists this ribosomal RNA (254 nucleotides) under uncultured bacterium. RNAcentral describes it as "partial 16S ribosomal RNA". It matches the Rfam family "Bacterial small subunit ribosomal RNA", at positions 524 to 776 of the family's 1533-position model. The record is from RNAcentral.
UACGUAGGGUGCAAGCGUUGUCCGGAAUUAUUGGGCGUAAAGAGCUCGUAGGCGGUUUGUCGCGUCUGCUGUGAAAACUCGGGGCUUAACCCCGGGCCUGCAGUGGGUACGGGCAGACUAGAGUGCGGUAGGGGGUGACUGGAAUUCCUGGUGUAGCGGUGGAAUGCGCAGAUAUCAGGAGGAACACCGAUGGCGAAGGCAGGUCACUGGGCCGCAACUGACGCUGAGGAGCGAAAGCAUGGGGAGCGAACAGG